CUCUCAUCAUUCAUGUUUCUCACUUGUUUGCUCCCUUCCUCUUAAAUAAGUCAACAGAAAAAUUUCCCCUGAUGAGGAUUAACACAACAAAAUAAGCAGGUAAGGAGGUAUAUAGGCAAGAGAAAGUAAAGAAUGAAUCAUUGUCUUGGAGAGUAACUUUAUAAAAUAGGAGAGUUGGGCCGAAGCUGGUUUGGCUCAAUGGAUAGAGCGUCAGCCUGCGGACUGAAAGGUCCCAGGUUCGAUUCUGGUCAAGGGCAUGUACCUUGGUUGCGGGGACAUCCCCAGUGGCGGGUGUACAGGAGAUGGCUGAUAGAUGUUUCUAACUUUCUAUUUCUCUCCCUUCCUCUCUGUAAAAAAAUCAAUAAAAUAUAUUUUGGGGGGAAAAAACAAAACAAAAAAAAAAUAGGAGAGGUGGAAUAGAAUAAGAAAGAUAUAAUCUCUGUUCUUGAAAAGCAUGAUAUGA
Molecule: long non-coding RNA, 463 nt
Organism: Pipistrellus kuhlii (Kuhl's pipistrelle)
Lineage: Eukaryota; Metazoa; Chordata; Mammalia; Chiroptera; Vespertilionidae
Exons: 2
Source: RefSeq, a predicted model, not a curated record